Molecule: non-coding RNA, 29 nt
Filed under: Homo sapiens (human)
Lineage: Eukaryota; Metazoa; Chordata; Mammalia; Primates; Hominidae
Source: RNAcentral
UGACCCCAGGAUCCAGGGCAUGGUCAUAC